GUCGAACGGAAACGAUGGAGCUUGCUCCAGGCGUCGAGUGGCGGACGGGUGAGUAACGCAUGGGAAUCUGCCUUUUGCUGGGGGAUAACGUAGGGAAACUUACGCUAAUACCGCAUAAGACCUAAGGGUGAAAGCGGGGGACCGAAAGGCCUCGCGGCAAGAGAUGAGCCCAUGUUGGAUUAGCUAGUUGGUGGGGUAAAGGCCUACCAAGGCGACGAUCCAUAGCUGGUCUGAGAGGAUGAUCAGCCACACUGGGACUGAGACACGGCCCAGACUCCUACGGGAGGCAGCAGUGGGGAAUAUUGGACAAUGGGGGGAACCCUGAUCCAGCAAUGCCGCGUGUGUGAAGAAGGCCUUCGGGUUGUAAAGCACUUUCAGUAGGGAGGAAAGGUGCGUAGUUAAUACCUGCGCAAUUGACGUUACCUACAGAAGAAGCACCGGCUAACUCCGUGCCAGCAGCCGCGGUAAUACGGAGGGUGCGAGCGUUAUUCGGAAUUACUGGGCGUAAAGCGCACGCAGGCGGUUGCCCAAGUCAGAUGUGAAAGCCCCGGGCUUAACCUGGGAACUGCAUUUGAAACUGGGCGACUAGAGUAUGAAAGAGGAAAGCGGAAUUUCCAGUGUAGCAGUGAAAUGCGUAGAUAUUGGAAGGAACACCGAUGGCGAAGGCAGCUUUCUGGGUCGAUACUGACGCUCAUGUGCGAAAGCGUGGGGAGCAAACAGGAUUAGAUACCCU
Molecule: ribosomal RNA, 733 nt
Filed under: Cardiobacterium hominis
Lineage: Bacteria; Pseudomonadati; Pseudomonadota; Gammaproteobacteria; Cardiobacteriales; Cardiobacteriaceae
Description: bacterial SSU rRNA
Rfam family: Bacterial small subunit ribosomal RNA
Source: RNAcentral